GGAUGUGAGGGCAAUCUGGCUGCGGUAUCUGUCACCCCUUGAUCGCCAGGGUUGAUUCGGCUGAUCAGGCUGUCCACUUCCUCCCUCACCAUUCCAUGUGCGUCCCUCCUAAAGCUGCGUGUUCGGUCGAAGAGGACGACCAUCCCCUAUAGAGGAGGACUGUCCUUCUGUCAAGGGUUUACGAGUAGCUGCGCUCCCCUGCUAGAACCUCCAAACAAGCUCUCAAGAAAUGCAAUCAUUGCUCAGUGUUUUGCCUUUUCGUUAAGGAUCUCACCAUUCUUCUAGUCAUUCAUGAAAUUAUUCAUUCAUU
This 310-nucleotide small nuclear RNA is filed under the name Tupaia belangeri chinensis (Chinese tree shrew). RNAcentral describes it as "Tupaia chinensis (Chinese tree shrew) 7SK RNA". It matches the Rfam family "7SK RNA". Rfam says of the family: 7SK was discovered as an abundant small nuclear RNA in the mid-70s but a possible function has only recently been suggested. Two independent studies have found that 7SK RNA binds the CDK9/cyclin T complex (known as elongation factor P-TEFb). P-TEFb activates transcription by phosphorylating the C-terminal domain of RNA polymerase II. The record is from Rfam by way of RNAcentral. Lineage: Eukaryota; Metazoa; Chordata; Mammalia; Scandentia; Tupaiidae.